This 190-nucleotide ribosomal RNA is filed under the name uncultured Glomeromycotina. Its description in RNAcentral is "partial 18S ribosomal RNA". It matches the Rfam family "Eukaryotic small subunit ribosomal RNA", at positions 686 to 873 of the family's 1831-position model. Lineage: Eukaryota; Fungi; Glomeromycota. The record is from RNAcentral.
GGUCUCACUGAUUCCUCCUUCCUGAUGAACCGUAAUGCCAUUAAUUUGGUGUUGCGGGGAAUUUGGACUGUUACUUUGAAAAAAUUAGAGUGUUUAAAGCAAGCUAACGCUUGAAUACAUUAGCAUGGAAUAAUGAAAUAGGACGUUCGAUCCUAUUUUGUUGGUUUCUAGGAUUGACGUAAUGAUUAAU